AGGCUAUAGCCUUACUUUUUGGCCAAUUUUCGACCUUUUUUCAAAAAUGGAAAAAGUGGGUGAAAAUGUACGAAAAGUUAAGGCUAUAGCCUUAAUUUUUU
Non-coding RNA from Paramuricea clavata, 101 nucleotides. The record is from the annotation of a GenBank genome assembly. NCBI's taxonomy places the organism in Eukaryota, Metazoa, Cnidaria, Anthozoa, Malacalcyonacea, Plexauridae.